This 432-nucleotide ribosomal RNA is filed under the name uncultured bacterium. RNAcentral describes it as "partial 16S ribosomal RNA". It matches the Rfam family "Bacterial small subunit ribosomal RNA", at positions 29 to 507 of the family's 1533-position model. The record is from RNAcentral.
ACGAACGCUGGCGGCAUGCCUAACCCAUGCCAGUCGAACGAGACCUUCGGGUCUAGUGGCGCACGGGUGCGUAACGCGUGGGAACCUGCCCUUAGGUUCGGAAUAACUCCCCGUAAGGGGUGCUAAUACCGGAUAAUGUCUUCGGGCCAAAGAUUUAUCGCCUUUGGAUGGGCCCGCGUUGGAUUAGCUAGUUGGUAGGGUAAAAGCCUACCAAGGCGACGAUCCAUAGCUGGUCUGAGAGGAUGAUCAGCCACACUGGGACUGAGACACGGCCCAGACUCCUACGGGAGGCAGCAGUGGGGAAUAUUGGACAAUGGGCGAAAGCCUGAUCCAGCAAUGCCGCGUGAGUGAUGAAGGCCUUAGGGUUGUAAAGCUCUUUUACCCGGGAUGAUAAUGACAGUACCGGGAGAAUAAGCUCCGGCUAACUCCGUG